AAGGUUGCCCGAGUGGUCUAAGGGGUUUGACUUGAAAUCAAAUGUCGCAAGACUCGUCGGUUCAAAUCCGGCACCU
This 76-nucleotide transfer RNA is filed under the name Thraustochytrium sp. LLF1b. It matches the Rfam family "tRNA". Rfam says of the family: Transfer RNA (tRNA) molecules are approximately 80 nucleotides in length. Lineage: Eukaryota; Bigyra; Thraustochytrida; Thraustochytriidae. The record is from RNAcentral.